AUUGAACGCUGGCGGCAUGCCUUACACAUGCAAGUCGAACGGCAGCACGGGAGCAAUCCUGGUGGCGAGUGGCGAACGGGUGAGUAAUACAUCGGAACGUGCCCAAUCGUGGGGGAUAACGCAGCGAAAGCUGUGCUAAUACCGCAUACGAUCUACGGAUGAAAGCAGGGGAUCGCAAGACCUUGCGCGAAUGGAGCGGCCGAUGGCAGAUUAGGUAGUUGGUGAGGUAAAGGCUCACCAAGCCGUCGAUCUGUAGCUGGUCUGAGAGGACGACCAGCCACACUGGGACUGAGACACGGCCCAGACUCCUACGGGAGGCAGCAGUGGGGAAUUUUGGACAAUGGGCGAAAGCCUGAUCCAGCCAUGCCGCGUGCAGGAUGAAGGCCUUCGGGUUGUAAACUGCUUUUGUACGGAACGAAACGGCCUUUUCUAAUAAAGAGGGCUAAUGACGGUACCGUAAGAAUAAGCACCGGCUAACUACGUGCCAGCAGCCGCGGUAAUACGUAGGGUGCAAGCGUUAAUCGGAAUUACUGGGCGUAAAGCGUGCGCAGGCGGUUAUGUAAGACAGUUGUGAAAUCCCCGGGCUCAACCUGGGAACUGCAUCUGUGACUGCAUAGCUAGAGUACGGUAGAGGGGGAUGGAAUUCCGCGUGUAGCAGUGAAAUGCGUAGAUAUGCGGAGGAACACCGAUGGCGAAGGCAAUCCCCUGGACCUGUACUGACGCUCAUGCACGAAAGCGUGGGGAGCAAACACGAGUAGAUACCCUGGUAGUCCAAUGGCGAAUUCCACAUUGGGCUGCAGCCCGGGGAUCCACUAGUUCUAGAGCGGCCGCACCGCGUGAGCUCCAAAGUACGCCUAUAAUGAGUCCUAUUAGCGCGUCAGGGCGUGGUUUACACA
Molecule: ribosomal RNA, 896 nt
Filed under: uncultured Comamonadaceae bacterium
Lineage: Bacteria; Pseudomonadati; Pseudomonadota; Betaproteobacteria; Burkholderiales; Comamonadaceae
Description: bacterial SSU rRNA
Rfam family: Bacterial small subunit ribosomal RNA
Source: RNAcentral